CUUGCCCACGUAGGAGAAGAUCUCGGAGAGCGCGCUCAUGGUGUUGAACUCGUUCAUGUGCAUCCGGGACUGCUCAGCCAGGUGCCCAGGAGUUGGGUGGCAGACGAUCAGAGGUGGCACUCGUGCGCUACUCCAGCGUCAUGCUCAAGGGCCUGCGUGAACGACAGCCAGACCUACUGACCGCGAGGAAAACCCCAGGAUCCCGAUGGGACGUGAUCGUCAUCAGAAGCAAAGACUCCUGCCCUUCCCGUUACCUGCUCCUGAAACCUUACAGGAUGGCCCCAGUGAUUGAGAAGGUGGUCUCCAAUGCCCUGGACUCUUAGAGAAGAACAAAGUAUCCUCAUCCCUUCAAACACCUCAAGGAUGAAGGUGCAGACGUGAAGGACAUUUAGAGCCCAAGGCUCUGAUGUACAGAUACUUAACUUUUCAAGCUCCUGCAUAAAAGUCUUUCCCUCUGUGUUCAUUCACUGACCUCCCAGGCCCAGGAGAAUCAGGACGUUGCUCCCUGAGCCCCCACAGCUGACGGGGCUUGCUGAGGGCCUGUGUGUCCUCCUUGACCAUGAUGAGGGCCACAAGGGAAGGAUCAAGUCUAAUCCAUCCUGAGCGUCCGGUGCGCCCACGAUGGACACCAUAAAUGACCCAUGGAUGAGUGAAUGUGGCCGUAAGCAAAACCUCUAAUACUUGGAAUGGAGGCAGCAAAGACUGGGAGUCUGCAGUGAGGCCACCAACCACAAGCAUUGCAAGUUCACUUUCCGGGGACGUGGAGAUCAGCAAGCUUGAACAAUCUGUUCAGAGAUACGGCGUUGAUGGGCACUGGAGGGCUCGACGCCCAGCCUGGACCACAGGACUCACCAUCUGCCCUGAGAACACAAGGCUUUGGGGUCCGAGGCAGCCAUGACAGUUAGCAUCUGCUGUAUACCAGGAGCUAUGCUAGCAACUGGGGGUCCAGUGUGAAUAAGACCCAUCCCCUGUCCUGCAGAAGUCUGCCUACCGCUGGGCUCGUGGUGAUGUCAGACGUGCAAUCACGAACUUUGGGUGUUGGACCUGAAGGAUGGGUGGGGUCCAGUGUGGGAGCCAGGGAGGUGUGAGCAAGUCUACCCAGAGGGGCAUUAUCUGGAAAGCCUUCCCAGAGAGGACGACACUUAAUGGUCUCAGUGUUAGAGAUGCAGAUGAAAAGCUGAAGGAAGAGGAGCGGAAGGUACUGCCGAAGGGGAGUGAGCCAAAGACAAAGAGGAGAUGGAACCUGCAGCGCCGUCUGCUACCGGAGCCACCUGUCUGUUGCUAGAAAGGGUCCCGAGGCAUGGGGCAAAACCUGCCCACCUGCCCCUUUUGACUGUACUCUGCUGGCUCUCAGAUUCCGUGGCUUCCGUCCAGCCUGCGGAGACGCAGGUCAGGAAAUGGGGUGGCACCCAGCCAGGGACCACGCGUCUCCCUCCCUCUGCCUCCACACCGUCCCCUCCUGCUAUGUGCCCUGAUGCUCUGCUGUUGCUUGGCUGCCGUCCUCAAGGUUGGUAAUAAUAGUUACAAUGUUUGCGUGUGUUUGGCUUGCCUCCUACAACUUAAAUUCUUUUGAAUUACAUGAUUUCAAUCCAGCAAGAACAAGAUUUCUGUUGUAUCUCCCAGCAGCCAGCACGUACACACAACAAAGGCUAAAAUACAGCAGGGCCUCAUACUCAAGACUGCCAGUCAGUCAACAAGUAUUUAUUACGUUCCCACAAAGCGUGCAGUGCGGGCAGCAGCGAGGUCUAACAAUGGUAAGAUGCACUUGUUUCAAAGAGGAAAUAAA
Long non-coding RNA from Globicephala melas (long-finned pilot whale), 1786 nucleotides. RefSeq lists it as uncharacterized. NCBI's taxonomy places the organism in Eukaryota, Metazoa, Chordata, Mammalia, Artiodactyla, Delphinidae. The record is from RefSeq and is a predicted model, not a curated record.